CAACUACUCCCUCGGCCCCAAAUUUCUUGUCUUAGAUUUGUCUAGAUACAGAUGUAUCUAAUACUAAAAUGUGACUUGAUACAUCAGCAUCUAGACAAAUCUAUGACAAGAAUUUUGGGACGGAGGGAGUACUUU
Molecule: non-coding RNA, 135 nt
Organism: Triticum aestivum (bread wheat)
Lineage: Eukaryota; Viridiplantae; Streptophyta; Magnoliopsida; Poales; Poaceae
Source: Rfam